CCUACGGGCGGCAGCAGUGAGGAAUAUUGGUCAAUGGACGAGAGUCUGAACCAGCCAAGUAGCGUGAAGGAUGACUGCCCUAUGGGUUGUAAACUUCUUUUAUAAAGGAAUAAACCGCGGCACGUGUGCCUUUUUGCAUGUACUUUAUGAAUAAGGAUCGGCUAACUCCGUGCCAGCAGCCGCGGUAAUACGGAGGAUCCGAGCGUUAUCCGGAUUUAUUGGGUUUAAAGGGAGCGUAGAUGGUUUGUUAAGUCAGUUGUGAAAGUUUGCGGCUCAACCGUAAAAUUGCAAUUGAUACUGGCAGUCUUGAGUACAGUUGAGGUAGGCGGAAUGCGUGGUGUAGCGGUGAAAUGCUUAGAUAUCACGAAGAACCCCGAUUGCGAAGGCAGCUUACUAAGCUGUGACUGACAUUGAUGCUCGAAAGUGUGGGUAGCAAACAGGAUUAGAUACCCGUGUAGUC
RNAcentral lists this ribosomal RNA (460 nucleotides) under uncultured bacterium. Its description in RNAcentral is "partial 16S ribosomal RNA". It matches the Rfam family "Bacterial small subunit ribosomal RNA", at positions 338 to 795 of the family's 1533-position model. The record is from RNAcentral.